This 482-nucleotide long non-coding RNA is filed under the name Brachypodium distachyon (stiff brome). RNAcentral's name for it is "long non-coding RNA (BDIS_LNC000758)". Lineage: Eukaryota; Viridiplantae; Streptophyta; Magnoliopsida; Poales; Poaceae. The record is from RNAcentral.
CAAGUCUAGUUUCCAACAAAUCAAACGGCACAUGAUUCGGAGCUUGCUAGAGAAAGAUAUCACGAAUUAAAGUUGAAUCCGAUUCGAGUCCGAGCUGUCAGGAGACCCGAAUUUGUUUUAAUCACCCAGGCCGCAUCCUGAGUCCAAAUCAAGCAUACAAGUACUUGUUGGAAAGGUAAUUACAAGACCUUUCCAACGCAUCCGGCCCCACCAGAAGAUUCGAUGCGAGCUGACCGUGACGGACAAAACAAGUUGACGGAUCUGUUUUUCAGUUUCCUAAAGAGUAGUUGAUUUGGCAGGAAACUUAGAGACAGAGUUGUAUUUCGGCCCCAUGCCUAACUUGGCCAAAAAUCCAUCUUUCUCCUCCUUUAUAUACCCCACGAGCCCCCCUAAGGUACUUGUUGGAAUCCAUCCGGAGUCCAAAUCAAGCAAACAAGUACUUGUUGGAAAGGUAAUUACAAAACCUUUCCAAUGGAUCUGGC